UUAAGUUAGAAAGGGCGCACGGUGGAUGCCUUGACACUAGGAGUCGAUGAAGGACGGGACUAACGCCGAUAUGCUUCGGGGAGCUGUAAGUAAGCUUUGAUCCGAAGAUUUCCGAAUGGGGAAACCCACCAUACGUAAUGGUAUGGUAUCCUUAUCUGAAUACAUAGGGUAAGGAAGACAGACCCAGGGAACUGAAACAUCUAAGUACCUGGAGGAAGAGAAAGCAAAUGCGAUUUCCUGAGUAGCGGCGAGCGAAACGGAACAUAGCCCAAACCAAGAGGCUUGCCUCUUGGGGUUGUAGGACAUUCUAUACGGAGUUACAAAGGAACGAGGUAGACGAAGCGACCUGGAAAGGUCCGUCGUAGAGGGUAACAACCCCGUAGUCGAAACUUCGUUCUCUCUUGAAUGUAUCCUGAGUACGGCGGAACACGUGAAAUUCCGUCGGAAUCUGGGAGGACCAUCUCCCAAGGCUAAAUACUCCCUAGUGAUCGAUAGUGAACCAGUACCGUGAGGGAAAGGUGAAAAGCACCCCGGAAGGGGAGUGAAAGAGAUCCUGAAACCGUGUGCCUACAAAUAGUCAGAGCCCGUUAACGGGUGAUGGCGUGCCUUUUGUAGAAUGAACCGGCGAGUUACGAUCCCGUGCGAGGUUAAGCUGAAGAGGCGGAGCCGCAGCGAAAGCGAGUCUGAAUAGGGCGUUUAGUACGUGGUCGUAGACCCGAAACCAGGUGAUCUACCCAUGUCCAGGGUGAAGUUCAGGUAACACUGAAUGGAGGUCCGAACCCACGCACGUUGAAAAGUGCGGGGAUGAGGUGUGGGUAGCGGAGAAAUUCCAAUCGAACCUGGAGAUAGCUGGUUCUCCCCGAAAUAGCUUUAGGGCUAGCCUUAAGUGUAAGAGUCUUGGAGGUAGAGCACUGAUUGGACUAGGGGUCCUCAUCGGAUUACCGAAUUCAGUCAAACUCCGAAUGCCAAUGACUUAUCCUUAGGAGUCAGACUGCGAGUGAUAAGAUCCGUAGUCAAAAGGGAAACAGCCCAGACCGCCAGCUAAGGUCCCAAAGUGUGUAUUAAGUGGAAAAGGAUGUGGAGUUGCUUAGACAACUAGGAUGUUGGCUUAGAAGCAGCCACCAUUUAAAGAGUGCGUAAUAGCUCACUAGUCGAGUGACUCUGCGCCGAAAAUGUACCGGGGCUAAAUACACCACCGAAGCUGCGGAUUGAUACCAAUGGUAUCAGUGGUAGGGGAGCGUUCUAAGGACAGUGAAGUCAGACCGGAAGGACUGGUGGAGUGCUUAGAAGUGAGAAUGCCGGUAUGAGUAGCGAAAGACGGGUGAGAAUCCCGUCCACCGAAUGCCUAAGGUUUCCUGAGGAAGGCUCGUCCGCUCAGGGUUAGUCAGGACCUAAGCCGAGGCCGACAGGCGUAGGCGAUGGACAACAGGUUGAUAUUCCUGUACCACCUCUUUAUCGUUUGAGCAAUGGAGGGACGCAGAAGGAUAGAAGAAGCGUGCGAUUGGUUGUGCACGUCCAAGCAGUUAGGCUGAUAAGUAGGCAAAUCCGCUUAUCGUGAAGGCUGAGCUGUGAUGGGGAAGCUCCUUAUGGAGCGAAGUCUUUGAUUCCCCGCUGCCAAGAAAAGCUUCUAGCGAGAUAAAAGGUGCCUGUACCGCAAACCGACACAGGUAGGCGAGGAGAGAAUCCUAAGGUGUGCGAGAGAACUCUGGUUAAGGAACUCGGCAAAAUGACCCCGUAACUUCGGGAGAAGGGGUGCUUUCUUAACGGAAAGCCGCAGUGAAUAGGCCCAAGCGACUGUUUAGCAAAAACACAGCUCUCUGCGAAGCCGUAAGGCGAAGUAUAGGGGGUGACACCUGCCCGGUGCUGGAAGGUUAAGGAGAGGGGUUAGCGUAAGCGAAGCUCUGAACUGAAGCCCCAGUAAACGGCGGCCGUAACUAUAACGGUCCUAAGGUAGCGAAAUUCCUUGUCGGGUAAGUUCCGACCCGCACGAAAGGUGUAACGAUUUGGGCACUGUCUCAACCAGAGACUCGGUGAAAUUAUAGUACCUGUGAAGAUGCAGGUUACCCGCGACAGGACGGAAAGACCCCGUGGAGCUUUACUGUAGCCUGAUAUUGAAUUUUGGUACAGUUUGUACAGGAUAGGCGGGAGCCAUUGAAACCGGAGCGCUAGCUUCGGUGGAGGCGCUGGUGGGAUACCGCCCUGACUGUAUUGAAAUUCUAACCUACGGGUCUUAUCGACCCGGGAGACAGUGUCAGGUGGGCAGUUUGACUGGGGCGGUCGCCUCCUAAAGUGUAACGGAGGCGCCCAAAGGUUCCCUCAGAAUGGUUGGAAAUCAUUCGUAGAGUGCAAAGGCAUAAGGGAGCUUGACUGCGAGACCUACAAGUCGAGCAGGGACGAAAGUCGGGCUUAGUGAUCCGGUGGUUCCGCAUGGAAGGGCCAUCGCUCAACGGAUAAAAGCUACCCCGGGGAUAACAGGCUUAUCUCCCCCAAGAGUCCACAUCGACGGGGAGGUUUGGCACCUCGAUGUCGGCUCAUCGCAUCCUGGGGCUGUAGUCGGUCCCAAGGGUUGGGCUGUUCGCCCAUUAAAGCGGUACGCGAGCUGGGUUCAGAACGUCGUGAGACAGUUCGGUCCCUAUCCGUCGUGGGCGUAGGAAAUUUGAGAGGAGCUGUCCUUAGUACGAGAGGACCGGGAUGGACGCACCGCUGGUGUACCAGUUGUUCUGCCAAGGGCAUAGCUGGGUAGCUAUGUGCGGAAGGGAUAAGUGCUGAAAGCAUCUAAGCAUGAAGCCCCCCUCAAGAUGAGAUUUCCCAUAGCGUAAGCUAGUAAGAUCCCUGAAAGAUGAUCAGGUUGAUAGGUUCGAGGUGGAAGCAUGGUGACAUGUGGAGCUGACGAAUACUAAUAGAUCGAGGACUUAACCAU
Molecule: ribosomal RNA, 2920 nt
Filed under: Bacillus cereus VD045
Lineage: Bacteria; Bacillati; Bacillota; Bacilli; Caryophanales; Bacillaceae
Description: bacterial LSU rRNA
Rfam family: Bacterial large subunit ribosomal RNA
Source: RNAcentral